CUACGGGGUGCUCCAGUGAGGAAUAUUGCACAAUGGGGGGAACCCUGAUGCAGCAACGCCGCGUGGAGGAUGACGCAUUUCGGUGUGUAAACUCCUUUUAUAUGUCAAGAAAAUGACGGUAGCAUAUGAAUAGGCACCGGCUAACUCCGUGCCGGCAGCCGCGGUAAUACGGAGGGUGCAAGCGUUACUCGGAAUCACUGGGCGUAAAGGACGCGUAGGCGGGUUGGAAAGUCAGGUGCGAAAUCCUACAGCUUAACUGUAGAACUGCACUUGAAACUUCUAAUCUAGAGUAUGGGAGGGGGAGAUGGAAUUAGUGGUGUAGGGGUAAAAUCCGUAGAUAUCACUAGGAAUACCUAAAGCGAAGGCGAUCUCCUGGAACAUUACUGACGCUAAGGCGUGAAAGCGUGGGGAGCAAACAGGAUUAGAUACCCCAGUAGUC
RNAcentral lists this ribosomal RNA (439 nucleotides) under uncultured bacterium. RNAcentral's name for it is "partial 16S ribosomal RNA". It matches the Rfam family "Bacterial small subunit ribosomal RNA", at positions 339 to 795 of the family's 1533-position model. The record is from RNAcentral.